CACGCAGGCGGCUCGUUAAAUUAGAAGUGAAAGCCCCGGGCUCAACCUGGGAAUUGCUUUUAAGACUGGCGAGCUAGAAUCCAGAAGAGGGCAGUGGAAUUCCGAGUGUAGAGGUGAAAUUCGUAGAUAUUCGGAAGAACACCAGUGGCGAAGGCGACUGCCUGGUCUGGUAUUGACGCUCAUGUGCGAAAGCGUGGGGAGCAAACAGGAUUAGAUACCCUGGUAGUCCACGCCGUAAACGAUGAGUGCUAGUUGUUGGGGUCCAUAGGACUUCAGUGACGCAGCUAACGCAUUAAGCACUCCGCCUGGGGAGUACGGCCGCAAGGUUAA
This 330-nucleotide ribosomal RNA is filed under the name uncultured bacterium. Its description in RNAcentral is "bacterial SSU rRNA". It matches the Rfam family "Bacterial small subunit ribosomal RNA", at positions 568 to 897 of the family's 1533-position model. The record is from RNAcentral.